Molecule: long non-coding RNA, 300 nt
Filed under: Elaeis guineensis (African oil palm)
Lineage: Eukaryota; Viridiplantae; Streptophyta; Magnoliopsida; Arecales; Arecaceae
Description: long non-coding RNA (EGUI_LNC011842)
Source: RNAcentral
CUCCCCCUCUCUCAAUUGCCACCUCUAUCAUUGUUCAGCCAGCUUCUCAGAUUACAAAGGGCAUCCGCCGACAGGGUUUUGCAGCACUUCAAUCUUGGCGCCUGCUGCUGUUGGUCCUGAGAGCCAGCUGAUGGUGAAAAGCUCCGAUGCUCCGCAGAGAAGCAGACCACAAUCACUGUGAGGUUGUCAAAUGUGUUGAGCCUCAGAGCUUCCAUAACAAGCUCCCUUGCACAUCUCUCAGGAUCAUCAUGCCACCGCAGGCCCCUGCGGACGAUGCUCACCGCGUCCUGGCUUGACAUC